GGCUGCACCCGAAGCAAAUGGAAGUUCCCAGGUUAGGGGUCCAUUCGGAGCUGCAGAAUACACCACCAUAUCAGAUCUGAGCUGCACCUGCGACCUAUGCCGCAACUUGUGGCAACCGGAUCCUUAACCCACUGAGCAAGGCCAGGGAUCAAACCUGCAUCCUCAUGGAUACUAGCUGGGUCCUUAACCGGCUGAGCCACAACAGGAACUCUCUCACACACCUUUUCUUUUUCUUUUUUUGGCUGCACCAACGGCAUGCGAAAUUUCCUGGGCAGGGAUUGAACACAAAGCCAAAUCCUUAACUGGUGACCAGGGAACUCCCGAUGCUUGAUUACUUUUUAAACGUUAAUCUAAUCUUAUAUUCCUGGAACAAAGCCAACUUUCAGCACCUUGAAGAUGUCUUUCCAUUGUCUUCUGGCUUCCCUCGUUUGGGUUGAGAAUUUCUGACGUGUUGCUCCUUUGAACAUAAUGUGUGGUUUUGUUUUUUUGUUGUUAACCUCUAGACUCUUUUAAGAUUAUCUCUUUCCCUUUGUUUUUUUCAGCAGUUUUACUACAGAACUCUUUUUUUUUUUUUUUUUGGUCUUUUUUUGAUAUUUCUUUGGGCUGCUCCCACGGCAUAUGGAGGUUUCCAGGCUAGGGAUUGAAUCGGAGCUGUAGCCCCUGGCUGUAGCCACAGCAAUGCCAGAUCUGAGCCGCGUCUGCAACCUACACCACAGCUCCCGGCAACGCCAGAUCGUUAACCCACUGAGCACGGGCAGGGACUGAACCCGCAACCUCAUGGUUCCUAGUCGGAUUCAUUAACCACUGCGCCACGACGGGAACUCCUCCACAGGAUUCUUGAAUCUGUGACUUAAUGUCUUUCAUCAGUGUUGGAAAAACUUCAGCCACGAUCUCUUCAACUAUUGCUUCUGUCCUGUUUCUCUUUCUUAUCCUGGGAUUCCAGUCAUAUGCAUGGUAGAAUUCUUCACUCUGAUCCUUGCAUUUGAAUUCUUCCCUUUUGUCUUUCAUGCUUCAUAUUAGUUAUUGAUUCUGAUCUAUCUUCUUACUCACCACUUCUCACCUCAGCUAUAAUAUCUUUCUACAAUACAUAAUUUCCACUUUUUUUCUUUUUCUUUUUUUGGCUUUUCAGGUCCGCACCUGUGGCAUAUGGAGGUCCCCAGGCUAGGUAGGGGUCCAAUCAGAGCUAUAGCUGCCGGCCUACACCACAGCCACAGCAAUGUGGGAUCUGAGCCAUAUCUGCGACCUACACCACAGCUCACGGCAACGCCAGAUUGCUAACCCACUGAGUGAGGACAGGGAUCGAACCCGAAACCUCAUGGUUCCUAAUUGGAUUUGUUGCCGCUGUGCCACAAAAGGAACUCCUGACUUUUUUUUUCAAAUCAGUGUCCUUUUUAAAAAUACAAUUUCUAGUGUUCUACCAAAAUUCCCAAUCUUUGUGAGUGUAAUAAACAAUUUUAUUUUAAAGUUUGUCUUUUAAAUCUAAUAUUUAGAGUCUCAUAGUUCUGUUUCUAUCAUUUAUCAUUUCGGCUGGUUCAUGAGUUCUCUCAUGGGCUUGGUUGGUUUUGUUGUGUGUCAUUACUGUACAAACAGUCUUGAUUUGCACAGCAAUGUGAGAAGAUAAAAAGCAUCCCACAAGCAGAGAUUAUGCAAAGUGAUUUUACUAAUCAGUGGUGAAAAAUCACAACUGCUCCAUGACCUUUAAAUUUUUUGUCAAAAUAUUAAAACAACCC
RNAcentral lists this long non-coding RNA (1730 nucleotides) under Sus scrofa (pig). Its description in RNAcentral is "lncRNA (ENSSSCG00030010166.1)". Lineage: Eukaryota; Metazoa; Chordata; Mammalia; Artiodactyla; Suidae. The record is from RNAcentral.